UACGUAGGGCGCAAGCUUUGUCCGGAAUUAUUGGGCGUAAAGAGCUCGUAGGCGGCCUGUUGCGUCCGCUGUGAAAUCCCGGGGCUCAACCCCGGGCCUGCAGUGGAUACGGGCUGGCUAGAGGCAGGCAGGGGAGAACGGAAUUCCUGGUGUAGCGGUGAAAUGCGUAGAUAUCAGGAGGAACACCGGUGGCGAAGGCGGGUCUCUGGGCAGUAACUGACGCUGAGGAGCGAAAGCGUGGGGAGCGAACAGG
RNAcentral lists this ribosomal RNA (253 nucleotides) under uncultured bacterium. RNAcentral's name for it is "partial 16S ribosomal RNA". It matches the Rfam family "Bacterial small subunit ribosomal RNA", at positions 524 to 776 of the family's 1533-position model. The record is from RNAcentral.